This 374-nucleotide ribosomal RNA is filed under the name uncultured bacterium. Its description in RNAcentral is "bacterial SSU rRNA". It matches the Rfam family "Bacterial small subunit ribosomal RNA", at positions 527 to 898 of the family's 1533-position model. The record is from RNAcentral.
GUAGGGUGCAAGCGUUGUCCGGAAUUAUUGGGCGUAAAGAGCUCGUAGGCGGCUUGUCGCGUCGGUUGUGAAAGCCCGGGGCUUAACCCUGGGUCUGCAGUCGAUACGGGCAGGCUAGAGUUCGGUAGGGGAGACUGGAAUUCCUGGUGUAGCGGUGAAAUGCGCAGAUAUCAGGAGGAACACCGGUGGCGAAGGCGGGUCUCUGGGCCGAUACUGACGCUGAGGAGCGAAAGCGUGGGGAGCGAACAGGAUUAGAUACCCUGGUAGUCCACGCUGUAAACGGUGGGAACUAGGUGUGGGCAGCAUUCCACGUUGUCUGUGCCGCAGCUAACGCAUUAAGUUCCCCGCCUGGGGAGUACGGCCGCAAGGCUAAA